AUCUGACAAUUCGCCGCCCUCUGCAUCUGCUACGACACGGGGUUGUCUGCUGCCAGAUUCGCCGCCGGAACGCCCACCCCGCCAAUGCCGGUCAACUCGUUGGCCUCCGGCCCUUCCUCGUCGAUUCUUCAUGCCAGAAGGCGCCCGACCACGCGCGGACGGCGGCUACGUUAUCGGAGCGUCCUCCCGGGCGGCACAGCGUGGAUGUAGAUGGUUUCUUCCCCAACUCCGGCCGGCGACCACGGCAUUUGAAUCUUCUCACCCGGCCACACACACACUGCCUGGAAGGAGACGUCAGGGUUGUCAUUGACUGGGAUGGGCAGGAGGCGGCAGGAGAGGCAGUAAGCACCUCGACAAUGACAGCCGUGACCCAGCUUAUUUGGUUAUCCUUCAUAUGUUUCCUAGGUUGAUUUGUGGGAAUUGACAUGCAUUUUAACAUUUUACUGAUUUAUGUAAUAAAUACGUGACCAUAUGCCUAUUUUAGUACUACCAGACACUGAGUUACAGUUUAA
Triticum dicoccoides is the source of this 512-nucleotide long non-coding RNA. RefSeq lists it as uncharacterized. The record is from RefSeq and is a predicted model, not a curated record. The transcript is spliced from 2 exons. NCBI's taxonomy places the organism in Eukaryota, Viridiplantae, Streptophyta, Magnoliopsida, Poales, Poaceae.